AUAAGUAACAAAAAGUAGUUUUACUUGUGAUCAGGCAGAGCACAGUGUGAUCCCUGAAGGCAGGCUUUAGGCUUAAAGUUACAAACAUGUACAAACAGGUUUACCCCAUAUGGGAGAUAACUUGGGGAACUGCUGUGGCAGCCAGCAGUACAGUCUAGGUGAUGGAGGGAGCAGACAGGGCGAACAAGAAGGUUGAAAAGAGGAAGGUAGCAGCGUGACUUGGCCUUUUACCAGGUCUGGAAAGGUCACACCCACCUGCUAGUCACAUGCAAGGAAGCAUGCUCCAGGCCAGGAGGAACAGGAAGUUUCGACUGCCUGGACCAAACAUUCCCUUGCAUGUCCAUUCUAGCUAUACAAGGAAUGUUGUACUUGACUGCUCCCAGUGGAUUACAGCCCACACCUGCUUUAGAACCUCAGACAUGGUAUGAAGUCGUAAAUUGCUUCUCCAGAAACUAAAGUAUAAGUUGUUAGAAACAGCAAGCUGAGAAACUUAAUAAGCACUCAGCUGGAGAAGCAGAAACUUCUUCCUUCAUUUACAAAAACAUCACAGGGCUCUUUCAAGAUUUACAGAGGAGGAACCCAGUUCUGAGCAAUAUUUUUAAGAACUGCAUGUAGAUUAAAAGGGUAAAGGUAAAGGUACCCCUGCCCGUACGGACCAGUCUUGACAGACUCUAGGGUUGUGCGCUCAUCUCACUCUAUAGGCCGGGAGCCAGCUCUGUCCGCAGACACUUCCGGGUCACGUGGCCAGCGUGACAAGCUGCAUCUGGUGAGCCAGCGCAGCACACGGAACGCCGUUUACCUUCCCGCUGGUAAGUGGUCCCUAUUUAUCUACUUGCACCCAGGGGUGCUUUCAAACUGCUAGGUUGGCAGGCGCUGGGACCGAACGACGGGAGUGCACCCCGCCGCGGGGAUUCGAACCGCCGACCAUGCGAUCGGCAAGUCCUAGGCGCUGAGGUUUUACCCACAGCGCCACCCGCGUCCCACGCAUGUAGAUUACUCAUGUGUAAUAAAAACAUACAACUGAUUCCCUUUAUGGGCAUUGCCUCCCUCCCACAAAAUAUGCUUUUGCUAACAUGGAAGUGUGAUAAUGGGAAAAAACUACAUCUGCUGAGGUUCUUGUAUUAGAAGAACAAUGCUGUCUUUUAAAAGAUGAUGCAUACCCUAUGUAUUGUAGGAUCUGUUUUACCUAGAUGGCAGGAAACAGUUUCUCCUUUAAGAUGGCGCUUUCCAUUGGCAGUUUUUCAUACUUGCCUUAAUAUUUUUUUCUAACAGAAAACCACUGCUGCCUGAUCAAUCAGCUGCACAUUCUUCAUUGAAUAAAAGUGUUUUAAACAGAUUGACUUUAAUCCAAGACAUACUGACCACUCCUCUUCCCUCAAAGAAAUUGGAAUACAAAUAUUCUCAUGAAUUUGUUGUCUGAGCGCUCAGGAUAUUCGUAUAUUCCAUGAUGUCACAACAACUCAGCCAAUCAGCGACAGAGGCUUUAUACAACAUAGAUAAAUGAGUAGGUGGAAUGGCCACAGAUGGACUCUCUUCUGGGAGGAACAACUAGUCCCAAGCCCACUUAGCCCAAAGUUUCUAUAAGUUUCCCAGAGCAAUGGCCACUGGGAUAAAUUUGAACUUCGCAGACACAGAACUAUGGCUGCUAUCCUAUGCAAAGUUAUUUAGGAGUGAAUCUCACUAAACUGAAGCCCUCUUUGUGUGUUCAGAAGAAAAGGCUUAAAGUGAAGCUCAUCCCAUUGCUCCUGUGCGCUCUGGCUACUUUCCUGACCUUUGCACACUGGGCAGUGCACUGAAGGGGAUUUCAGUUGAGCAAUGUUAGAAUUUGGAACCCAGUGCAAUAAGGUUUACUGACUGAAGGGGCAACAUGGUUAGAAUCUCCCUGGAGAUGUCUGAAUAAAUGCCACAGGGCAGCACCCAUAGAGACUAUCAGGCGUACGGGGUGAGAAUGUCACACUGCGUCCCCUACCUAUAUUCAGCCCUCAUGCGAUAUUUUGAAUGCUGGAAGAGAGCUUUAGUGGGACUUGCUGCUGAGUUAACCAAUGUAGGAUUGGGUGGCUGGUCAAUUUAUUUUCUCUCUGUUUCACAGUAAUGAUUUUAAAAAUGUAUUAUUUAUACCCUGCCCAUCUGGCUGGGUUUUCCCAGCUACUCUGGGUGGUUUCCAGCACAUAUAAAAGCAUAAUAAAACAUCAAAAAUUAAAAAUUUCCCAAUACUUCUCAUUCUUCCAGUGUUAGAUUCAGCUCUCCACAUUUCUGCAUCCAUUUGCAUUAAAAAAAUCCUCAUCAAUAUUCUUCAGCAUUUUAGUGUGAAUUUCUCCCGAUAAACACAUUUUCAGAUGCAGUUUUGAUUAAUGUACACAUUUUUGUAACCAAUUUUUCUUAUGAUAACUCAUUUUAGUAUCCUACAUUCAUUUUAGGCACAUUUUCUAGAAUAUAUGCAUUUUUGUAAACAUUGUUGGUUGGAGAACGACACUGCAAGUGUGAAUUUUGAAGGAUGGGUUUGGUUUGGUUCUCAUAUUGUUUCAGAAAGUGCAAGUUUGACAGAUUCAGUUUCAAAUGCAAACUGAAUUGGAUCUCUUCCCCUACCCUUAGUGAUUAAUAAAGCAUGGAUGUUCCAAUUCUUUCCAAUUCUGUGCCUCUAGUAGGAGUACUAAUGCUAAAAGGAAAGCAAUUACUAAAAUAUAAAAGUUUAAAAAAAGGAAAAUGAAAUACAGUGGUACCUCGGGUUAAGUACUUAAUUCAUUCCAGAGGUCUGUUCUUAACCUGAAACUGUUCUUAACCUGAAGCACCACUUUAGCUAAUAGGGCCUCCUGCUGCCGCUGCACGAUUUCUGUUCUCAUCCUGAAGCAAAGUUCUUAACCCGAGGUACUAUUUCUGGGUUAGCGGAGUCUGUAACCUGAAGCGUAUGGAACCUGAAGCGUAUGGAACCCGAGGUACCACUGUACACUGGUGUAUAUCUCAUCCGACAUACAAUGUAUGGCCUAUUAUCAGAAAAAUUAACAGAAAGAUUACAUGCAUUGAAUAAAAGAAAUGAUGUAGACAAUUUUGUUGAAAUUUGGCAUCCUUUUAUAAAAUAGUUUACUGAUAAUCCUGAAGAAUGGCAACUACUGAAAUCACAGACUAGACUUUAGCAAACUUAACUAGAUGGAUCUGUCCUGGAGUGAAAAGUAGGGGGCGAAUUGGGAUUUCAGUUUUGUAUCCUUUUCUCUCUUUUGUGAAGGAAAAUCAAUAAAACUAUAUAUUAAAGAGAGAGAGAGAAUAUUCUAAAGCAUGCCCCUCGAAAUGAUUAUUUUAAUCCAUGCAGGAUUGCAACAAGCAAAGCUGGGGCUGGUAUUCCUUUUGUAUUAAUGACACUGAAAGAAAAUUAUGUCCUUGUAAGCAUUGUUUUCACUUCUCUGUCCCUGACCAUUGCAAAAUAAUGUGGUGGCUCUCAGGAAUACGCUUUUUUAAAGUACUUGCUUUGUCUGUGUCUUUUCUUUCUUUCUUUUUAAUCUACAGUGUUCCAGUUUUGAAGGACACUUUUUUCAGACACCUCAUACCUCUUAACAGUUUCUGUACAUUCCCACAAUAAUCAUGUUUUUCUUCCUUCCUUUAAAAACAAAACACCGUUUUACAUGCGUAAUGUACAUCCUCCGGCACGUACUACUAGUCAAAAUGUGGUCAGGAUGUGCAUCUUAUACGUGAAUCUAGAGAGUGCCAAAGCAAGAUAAUUCCAAGGGCAUUUCGGUCCCUAAUCAAUGUGCGGCAGAACUGAGACGAAGGAAUGUUUCUGUUUUUCUAUCUUCACCUUGCAAUGGAUAAGAGAAUUUUACUGCAAAGCUUUAUUGGGUCAAUUAACCCUUUGGAAACCACGCAGCAGAUUACUUUUUUUCUAACACUGUUUUUAAAAGGGUUGCUCAUUUGCAGUACAGUUACACAAGGGAUGGAGAAUUUGCGGCCCGGCAGAU
This 3947-nucleotide long non-coding RNA is filed under the name Podarcis lilfordi (Lilford's wall lizard). Lineage: Eukaryota; Metazoa; Chordata; Lepidosauria; Squamata; Lacertidae. The record is from RNAcentral.